This 605-nucleotide ribosomal RNA is filed under the name Trichoderma hamatum. Its description in RNAcentral is "eukaryotic LSU rRNA". The stretch from base 219 to 372 matches the Rfam family "5.8S ribosomal RNA". Lineage: Eukaryota; Fungi; Ascomycota; Sordariomycetes; Hypocreales; Hypocreaceae. The record is from RNAcentral.
CAAAGUUCUCGUUGGUGACCAGCGGAGGGACAUUACCGAGUUUACAACUCCCAAACCCAAUGUGAACGUUACCAAACUGUUGCCUCGGCGGGGUCACGCCCCGGGUGCGUAAAAGCCCCGGAACCAGGCGCCCGCCGGAGGAACCAACCAAACUCUUUCUGUAGUCCCCUCGCGGACGUAUUUCUUACAGCUCUGAGCAAAAAUUCAAAAUGAAUCAAAACUUUCAACAACGGAUCUCUUGGUUCUGGCAUCGAUGAAGAACGCAGCGAAAUGCGAUAAGUAAUGUGAAUUGCAGAAUUCAGUGAAUCAUCGAAUCUUUGAACGCACAUUGCGCCCGCCAGUAUUCUGGCGGGCAUGCCUGUCCGAGCGUCAUUUCAACCCUCGAACCCCUCCGGGGGAUCGGCGUUGGGGAUCGGGACCCCUCACCGGGUGCCGGCCCUGAAAUACAGUGGCGGUCUCGCCGCAGCCUCUCCUGCGCAGUAGUUUGCACAACUCGCACCGGGAGCGCGGCGCGUCCACGUCCGUAAAACACCCAACUUCUGAAAUGUUGACCUCGGAUCAGGUAGGAAUACCCGCUGAACUUAAGCAUAUCAAUAAGCGGAGGA